RNAcentral lists this ribosomal RNA (455 nucleotides) under uncultured organism. Its description in RNAcentral is "bacterial SSU rRNA". It matches the Rfam family "Bacterial small subunit ribosomal RNA", at positions 346 to 794 of the family's 1533-position model. The record is from RNAcentral.
GCUCAGCAGUCGCGAAUUCUUCUCAAUGGGGGAAACCCUGAAGGAGCGACGCCGCGUGGAGGAUGAGGGCUUUCGGGUUGUAAACUCCUGUCAUUUGAGAACAAGUGGCCGAACGUAACUGCUUCGGCCUUGAUAGUAUCAGAAGAGGAAGGGACGGCUAACUCUGUGCCAGCAGCCGCGGUAAUACAGAGGUCUCAAGCGUUGUUCGGAUUCAUUGGGCGUAAAGGGUGCGUAGGUGGCGCCGUAAGUCGGGUGUGAAAUUUCGGAGCUUAACUCCGAAACUGCAUUCGAUACUGCGGUGCUUGAGGACUGGAGAGGAGACUGGAAUUUACGGUGUAGCAGUGAAAUGCGUAGAGAUCGUAAGGAAGACCAGUGGCGAAGGCGGGUCUCUGGACAGUUCCUGACACUGAGGCACGAAGGCCAGGGGAGCAAACGGGAUUAGAUACCCCCGUAGU